Molecule: ribosomal RNA, 466 nt
Filed under: uncultured bacterium
Lineage: Bacteria
Description: bacterial SSU rRNA
Rfam family: Bacterial small subunit ribosomal RNA
Source: RNAcentral
GCCCAGACUCCUACGGGAGGCAGCAGUGAGGAAUAUUGGUCAAUGGGCGCGAGCCUGAACCAGCCAAGUCGCGUGAGGGAUGACGGCCCUACGGGUUGUAAACCUCUUUUGUCGGGGAGCAAAUUCCGCCACGUGUGGCGGAGUCGAGAGUACCCGAAGAAAAAGCAUCGGCUAACUCCGUGCCAGCAGCCGCGGUAAUACGGAGGAUGCGAGCGUUAUCCGGAUUUAUUGGGUUUAAAGGGUGCGUAGGCGGAAGGUUAAGUCAGCGGUCAAAUGUCGGUGCUAAACACCGGCCUGCCGUUGAAACUGGUCUUCUUGAGUGAGCGAGAAGUAUGCGGAAUGCGUGGUGUAGCGGUGAAAUGCAUAGAUAUCACGCAGAACUCCGAUUGCGAAGGCAGCAUACCGGCGCUCAACUGACGCUGAGGCACGAAAGCGUGGGGAUCGAACAGGAUUAGAUACCCCAGUA